UUGUGGCUAUCAUCACGUUGAAACACAGGUACCCGUACGAUCACCGAAAUUAAGCAACAUUGAAGCUGGCCAGUAAUUAGAGGGGUAACCGCUUGGGAAUAUCACGUGUUGUAAG
Molecule: non-coding RNA, 115 nt
Organism: Acanthosepion pharaonis
Lineage: Eukaryota; Metazoa; Mollusca; Cephalopoda; Sepiida; Sepiidae
Source: the annotation of a GenBank genome assembly